CCUCCGAUAGCUCAGCUGGUAGAUCGGUGGACUGUAGAUCCAUAGGUCGCUGGUUCAAAUCCGGCUCGAAGGA
Molecule: transfer RNA, 73 nt
Filed under: Acanthoscelides obtectus
Lineage: Eukaryota; Metazoa; Arthropoda; Insecta; Coleoptera; Chrysomelidae
Description: hypothetical protein
Rfam family: tRNA
About the family: Transfer RNA (tRNA) molecules are approximately 80 nucleotides in length.
Source: RNAcentral